GACGAACGCUGGCGGCGUGCUUAACACAUGCAAGUCGAGCGGUAAGGCCCUUUCGGGGGUACGACGAGCGGCGAACGGGUGAGUAACACGUGGGUGACCUGCCCUCAGCUCUGGGAUAAGCCUGGGAAACCGGGUCUAAUACUGGAUAUGACUCCAUGACGCAUGUUGUGGGGUGGAAAGCCUUGUGCGGCUGAGGAUGGGCCCGCGGCCUAUCAGCUUGUUGGUGGGGUGAUGGCCUACCAAGGCGACGACGGGUAGCCGGCCUGAGAGGGCGACCGGGCCACACUGGGACUGAGACACGGCCCAGACUCCUACGGGAGGCAGCAGUGGGGAAUCUUGCGCAAUGGGCGAAAGCCUGACGCAGCGACGCCGCGUGAGGGAUGACGGCCU
This 390-nucleotide ribosomal RNA is filed under the name uncultured bacterium. Its description in RNAcentral is "bacterial SSU rRNA". It matches the Rfam family "Bacterial small subunit ribosomal RNA", at positions 28 to 417 of the family's 1533-position model. The record is from RNAcentral.